GACGAACGCUGGCGGCGUGCUUAACACAUGCAAGUCGAGCGGUAAGGCCCUUUCGGGGGUACACGAGCGGCGAACGGGUGAGUAACACGUGGGUGACCUGCCCUCAGCUCUGGGAUAAGCCUGGGAAACCGGGUCUAAUACUGGAUAUGACUCCAUGACGCAUGUUGUGGGGCGGAAAGCCUUGUGCGGCUGAGGAUGGGCCCGCGGCCUAUCAGCUUGUUGGUGGGGGAUGGCCUACCAAGGCGACGACGGGUAGCCGGCCUGAGAGGGCGACCGGCCACACUGGGACUGAGACACGGCCCAGACUCCUACGGGAGGCAGCAGUGGGGAAUCUUGCGCAAUGGGCGAAAGCCUGACGCAGCGACGCCGCGUGAGGGAUGACGGCCUGGUGUAACGUAC
Molecule: ribosomal RNA, 399 nt
Filed under: uncultured bacterium
Lineage: Bacteria
Description: bacterial SSU rRNA
Rfam family: Bacterial small subunit ribosomal RNA
Source: RNAcentral